UCAGUUCCCUGGUCUAGAAAAGGCAAUGACCUACUACCACAAACAAGCAAGAGUGCCACCUAGUGGCAGCUCACUUAAUAUGCACAUGGUUCUCGGGCUCUGGAAGAAAUUUAAGAAAGAGAGGAAGAGAGUAAAUACUGCAGAGACUGACUCUCUGGUCUAACAUGCUUCACCAGCUUCAGUGAACUGAAUUGCAAAGGCUCCUUCCUGCCUAGGAUUUUAGAUUUCAGAAAUGUGACGGAUUGGGUUAACCCGGGAAAGAUAUCAUUCUAAACCCUAUUAACCCUAGCAUAUAUUACCAAAUAGUAUAAGGCUCUUCUGGAGACUGACCGUUUUCUCAUAGCACCGUUUAUGAUACAGCCCAAAUCAUCCGGUUUCAGAGAGCUAUUGCCCUCUCUUCAUUCACUUAGUCAUUUAAUGAACAUUUAUUGAACACCUCUAAUUUCCAGGAACUGCACCAGGCAUUAAGAACACAAAGAUGAAUAAGAUACAUUCUCCAGCUGGUGAAUUAUUCAUAAUCUAUUAAUUGUGGCGGAUGAUCUGUUGUCAACUCGGCGUCACCACCACCCCCUUUAAGGUCUCCUCUUAGAAUGCCCAUCCCUGGGAUACGGAGCUGCCUCUAAGAGGAAGUGGCUCGAGAUUUGGAAGGCCUUAGAGAAAGAGAAGCUGUACUCUCCAGAAGCAGCAGCAGCAAGAGGUCAGGUUCAUGAGCAGAAGAGAGAUCCACAGUGGCUCCCUGGUGAGCUCUUGGGGACCACUUGUGUCGCUACUGCGCCCUAAGACUGUGAGAAUGCUUCUCCAGGAUUCUAAAGAACCCAGGCGCUUUCCGGUUCGUUUCUGAGAACUAACCGCACUGUUACUGCGCGCCAGAUCUUCUUCAGUGUCUCUCCCUCCCAUCCGCAGCAGCUUCCCUCCUUCAUUACUCCCUGAGCUCCUCCGGUAGUCAAGUAAGCACCUAAUUCCUGUCGCAAGCCCUCGGUGCCCAGAAGACAUGGAGUGGCUUCUGUUUUCCUGACUAAACCGUGACUGCUUCAGACACAUAGUGAGAUAAUCCUGUAACAUCGCCAUGGCAUAAUGAUGCAGGAACAUACGAGGGUUUACGAGCUCUGAGUAGCAGGAAAGCAUCCCAGCUUUAGAAGGAUCAGGGGAGGCUCCAGGGAGAUUGGCUUCUGAGGAAGAAAAAGAGGAGGUCAGCGUGUCCUUAUACCUGCUGUUUUUCAA
Molecule: long non-coding RNA, 1221 nt
Filed under: Equus asinus (donkey)
Lineage: Eukaryota; Metazoa; Chordata; Mammalia; Perissodactyla; Equidae
Description: lncRNA (ENSEASG00005030021.1)
Source: RNAcentral